RNAcentral lists this unclassified non-coding RNA (219 nucleotides) under uncultured Actinomycetes bacterium. Its description in RNAcentral is "uncultured actinobacterium contains 16S-23S intergenic spacer region". It matches the Rfam family "Bacterial small subunit ribosomal RNA", at positions 976 to 1196 of the family's 1533-position model. The record is from RNAcentral. Lineage: Bacteria; Bacillati; Actinomycetota; Actinomycetes.
UGGGCUUGACAUGCGGGGUGAAACCGUAGAGAUACGGCGCUCCUCGGAGCCCGCACAGGUGGUGCAUGGCUGUCGUCAGCUCGUGCCGUGAGGUGUUGCCUUAAGUGGCGCAACGAGCGCAACCCCUGUCCUUAGUUGCCAGCGGGUAAAGCCGGGAACUCUAGGGAGACUGCCGGUGCCAAACCGGAGGAAGGUGGGGAUGACGUACUUGCUAGGUAA